CUCCAGACUCCUACGGGAGGCAGCAGUGAGGAAUAUUGGUCAAUGGGCUUACGCCUGAACCAGCCAAGUCGCGUGAGGGAAGACUGCCCUAUGGGUUGUAAACCUCUUUUGUCAGGGAGCAAUUGGCGCUACGUGUAGCGUUAUCGAGAGUACCUGAAGAAAAAGCAUCGGCUAACUCCGUGCCAGCAGCCGCGGUAAUACGGAGGAUGCGAGCGUUAUCCGGAUUUAUUGGGUUUAAAGGGUGCGUAGGCGGAAGGUUAAGUCAGCGGUCAAAUGUCGGUGCUCAACACCGGCCUGCCGUUGAAACUGGGGAUCUAGAGUGUGCGAGAGGUAUGCGGAAUGCGUGGUGUAGCGGUGAAAUGCAUAGAUAUCACGCAGAACCCCGAUUGCGAAGGCAGCAUACCGGUGCACAACUGACGCUCAGGCACGAAAGCGUGGGUAUCGAACAGGAUUAGAUACCCGGGUA
RNAcentral lists this ribosomal RNA (466 nucleotides) under uncultured bacterium. RNAcentral describes it as "bacterial SSU rRNA". It matches the Rfam family "Bacterial small subunit ribosomal RNA", at positions 329 to 792 of the family's 1533-position model. The record is from RNAcentral.